This 324-nucleotide ribosomal RNA is filed under the name uncultured eukaryote. Its description in RNAcentral is "partial 18S ribosomal RNA". It matches the Rfam family "Eukaryotic small subunit ribosomal RNA", at positions 1470 to 1796 of the family's 1831-position model. The record is from RNAcentral.
CCCUUAGAUGUUCUGGGCCGCACGCGCGCUACACUGAUGCAUUCAACGAGUUUCUUCCUGGUCCGAGAGGAAUGGGUAACCUUUUGAAAGUGCAUCGUGAUAGGGAUAGACUAUUGCAAUUAUUGGUCUUCAACGAGGAAUUCCUAGUAGACGUAGUUCAUCAGACUGCAUCGAUUACGUCCCAGCCCUUUGUACACACCGCCCGUCGCUCCUACCGAUUGAAUGCUCAGGUGAGCCAUUCGGACUUUCAUCAUGCUGGUUUCCAGUUUUGAUGAAGGAAAGUCUUGCGAACCUUAUCAUUUAGAGGAAGGAGAAGUCGUAACA